This 63-nucleotide transfer RNA is filed under the name Enterococcus pallens. It matches the Rfam family "tRNA", at positions 6 to 65 of the family's 71-position model. Rfam says of the family: Transfer RNA (tRNA) molecules are approximately 80 nucleotides in length. Their secondary structure includes four short double-helical elements and three loops (D, anti-codon, and T loops). Lineage: Bacteria; Bacillati; Bacillota; Bacilli; Lactobacillales; Enterococcaceae. The record is from RNAcentral.
GUGUAGCUCAGUUGGUAGAGCGGCGGACUAAUAAUCCGCAGGUCGCUGGUUCAAUUCCGGCCG